GACGAACGCUGGCGGCGUGCUUAACACAUGCAAGUCGAACGGAAAGGCCCUGCUUUUGUGGGGUGCUCGUGUGGCGAACGGGUGAGUAACACGUGAGUAACCUGCCCUUGACUUUGGGAUAACUUCAGGAAACUGGGGCUAAUACCGGAUAGGUGCUCCUGCUGCAUGGUGGGGGUUGGAAAGUUUCGGCGGUUGGGGAUGGACUCGCGGCUUAUCAGCUUGUUGGUGGGGUAGUGGCUUACCAAGGCUGUGACGGGUAGCCGGCCUGAGAGGGUGACCGGCCACAUUGGGACUGAGAGACGGCCCAGACUCCUACGGGAGGCAGCAGUGGGGAAUAUUGCACAAUGGGCGGAAGCCUGAUGCAGCAACGCCGCGUGCGGGAUGACGGCCUUCGGGUUGUAAACCGCUUUCGCCUGUGACGAAGCGUGAGUGACGGUAAUGGGUAAAGAAGCACCGGCUAACUACGUG
This 468-nucleotide ribosomal RNA is filed under the name uncultured bacterium. Its description in RNAcentral is "partial 16S ribosomal RNA". It matches the Rfam family "Bacterial small subunit ribosomal RNA", at positions 28 to 507 of the family's 1533-position model. The record is from RNAcentral.